ACGGGAGGCAGCAGUGGGGGAUAUUGCACAAUGGGCGAAAGCCUGAUGCAGCGACGCCGCGUGAGGGAAGACGGCCUUCGGGUUGUAAACCUCUGUCAUUCGGGACGAAGAAGAUGACGGUACCGAAGAAGGAAGCUCCGGCUAACUACGUGCCAGCAGCCGCGGUAAUACGUAGGGAGCAAGCGUUGUCCGGAAUUACUGGGUGUAAAGGGAGCGUAGGCGGGAAAGCAAGUUGGAAGUGAAAGACUGAGGCUUAACCUCGGAACUGCUUUCAAAACUGUUUUUCUUGAGUGAAGUAGAGGCAGGCGGAAUUCCUAGUGUAGCGGUGAAAUGCGUAGAUAUUAGGAGGAACACCAGUGGCGAAGGCGGCCUGCUGGGCUUUAACUGACGCUGAGGCUCGAAAGCGUGGGUAGCAAACAGGAUUAGAUACCCUGGUA
RNAcentral lists this ribosomal RNA (437 nucleotides) under uncultured bacterium. RNAcentral's name for it is "bacterial SSU rRNA". It matches the Rfam family "Bacterial small subunit ribosomal RNA", at positions 341 to 792 of the family's 1533-position model. The record is from RNAcentral.